This 332-nucleotide ribosomal RNA is filed under the name uncultured eukaryote. Its description in RNAcentral is "partial 18S ribosomal RNA". It matches the Rfam family "Eukaryotic small subunit ribosomal RNA", at positions 1470 to 1796 of the family's 1831-position model. The record is from RNAcentral.
CCUUUAGAUGUCCUGGGCUGCACGCGCGCUACACUGGAAGUUACGGAUUGAGAUACUACCUUGUCCGAAAUGGUCCGGGUAAUCACCUAAAAGCUUGUCAUAAUUGGAAUGGAUUAUUGUAACUAGUAAUCCUGAACGAGGAAUUCCUAGUAAGUCCCAGUCAACAGCUGGUACUGAUUACGUCCCUGCCCUUUGUACACACCGCCCGUCGCUACUACUGAUUGGACGUUUAAGCAAGAUUUUUAAACACUGACAGUGUGUAGUUCACGCUAUACUACAGUGAGAAGAAGAAGAUCGAGCUUACUUGUCUAGAGGAAGUAAAAGUCGUAACA